This is a long non-coding RNA of Aedes albopictus (Asian tiger mosquito), 1439 nucleotides long. RefSeq lists it as uncharacterized. The transcript has 2 exons. The record is from RefSeq and is a predicted model, not a curated record. NCBI's taxonomy places the organism in Eukaryota, Metazoa, Arthropoda, Insecta, Diptera, Culicidae.
GUGUGCUCAUUCUGCACGUCGAAUGACUCUAUUCGACAAUUCUCACCUCGGAGUCACAUGACUCUUCUCACUCGAUUCCGGUUGUCGACUCGAGUGAGGUGAGAGGUUCACUUUUGUAGCGAGAAACGAAAUGAACCAAAACAAAUGCGAUGUUCAUUCGCAGAACUGUCAAACCGGUGGCGCAUCAAGAAUACGCUUUGAUUAUGGCGUAUUAAAAAAACACAAUUUGUAUAUAUCGUUUUAUCUCGUCAAUUUGUAAUAUUUUCAUCUACUUACAUCAAGUUAUGACCUUAAACAAAAGUUGUAUGUAAUGAUUUAAAAUUAGAAAGCAUGAUAUAGUAGUUUAAAAUGUGUAUUUUUAACAUUUUGGUAACGCAAACAUAUCCAACGUUUGGCCCUUAUAUAAACAUGCCCGAUUUCUCUUGAGUUGAUUUUCCUCCUUCCAAAAAUUGAAAAAACUUCUUCAAACAAAAUAUUUUUUUUAAUCGUGGUUACGCGGAUUUUACGUCAAGCUGGAUUUGAAUCCGGAGACUGUUUCUUAGGUUUCCUCGGCGCAGUAAGGUAUGUUUUAAACCACUAGAAAGCAAUUUCUCCAACUCAUCCAAAACACAGUAAAAGUAUUGUGAUGUUUUUCAACUUCCACAGACCACCCCACAAUCCAUCGGUUCGGCAUCGAUAGCCGCAACGGCGGCUCUGGCAACGCAUUUUUGCUCAGCCACUUCCGUCGUCGUAUACACGGCUAGAACUAAGUUGACCAGUAGCAGUAGCUCGGUUAGCUACGUCGUCAUCAACUUUCGAGGACCUAUCCUACGACGGAGCAAGGGAAACUUGCGAACAAGUCAGCGACGACUGCUGAAGGUGACCGAGAUUAAUUGUUCCUGUCUCCUGUGGGACCGGCUGAGUACGAAAAAACCGAUCUCAUCUAGUCGGAAAGCGAGGGAACCGAAUCGUCGGAUGAUUCCUCCACAAUGGAAUCAACUCCAACGGUGGGCAGCAAGCACAACAAUGCCUCCAUGUCGAUCAAUGCCUCUUCCGAUUUCCAAAGCGGGGGAAUCCGACCCUAAAGAAGCAAAUUCCUCAGCAGAUGGUGAUCCAGCAGAUUCCUUAGAUUCUGCAGCAACAACGACAACACACAGGUUUUGGCCCAGCUGCAGGGCCAACCACAGCAGUUCCACCAUCAGCACCAGCUCGUAAACAAUCAUCACAUCAUCAGUAGCAGCAACACCAGAGAGUCAAAACCAUUUGCAUUAUGAAAAUAUCCAAGACUGACCGGAGAUUGAAACCGUCACUUUCAGCAUGGUCUCGGAAAAUACCCACGUGUUUACCGCAUACAGAUAUCGGAGCUACUUGUACUGCUACGGCUGCUUUGUAAUCAUAAAACAUACAAAAAAGAUACAUAUUAGUGUUAAUGAAAAUAAAUUAUUCUUGAUCAAAACUUU